RNA transcript from Nannospalax galili (Upper Galilee mountains blind mole rat), 802 nucleotides. It is a transcript of the gene named acidic leucine-rich nuclear phosphoprotein 32 family member E pseudogene, with no coding region annotated. The record is from RefSeq and is a predicted model, not a curated record. NCBI's taxonomy places the organism in Eukaryota, Metazoa, Chordata, Mammalia, Rodentia, Spalacidae. The transcript has 2 exons.
ACAGAGUUAGUCCUUGAUAAUUGUUUAUGUGUCAAUGGGGAAAUUGAAGGCCUGAAUGAUAAUUUUAAGGAACUUGAUUUUCUGAGUAUGGUGAAUGUAGAAUUGAUUUCAUUGGCCCAGCUUAAAUAAACUUUGCAAGCUUGAACUUAGUGACAAUAUAAAUUUCUGGAGGCUUGGAAGUCCUGGCAGGGAAAUAUCCAAAUCUUACCUACCUCAAUCUGAGUGGAAAGAAAAUCAAAGAUCUCAGUACAGUAGAGCCCCUGAAAAAUCUUAAAAAUUUGAAAAGUCUUGACCUGUUUAACUGUGAGAUCACAAACCUGGAAGAUUACAAAGUAUUUUUGAACUGCUGCAGCAAAUCACAUACUUGGAUGGAUUUGAUCAGGAGGAUAAGGAAGCACCAGACUCAGAAGAGGAUAAUGAGGAUGGAGAGGAAGAUGAGGAAAAGAUGAUGCUGGUCCAUUGAAGGAUUUGAAGCAUUUGAAGAGGAGGAGCGGCUCCCCACAGAGGAGGAGGAAGAGGAAGAGGAAGAUGAGGAUGAAGCAGGCUCAGAGGGAGAAUACAAAGAGGAAGUAGGCCUCUCAUAAUGAAAGAAGAAAUUCAGGAUGAAGACGACUUUAAUGAUUACAUUGAUGAAGAGGAAGAAUAGGAGGAAGAGGAAGAAGAAGUUCUUCGGGGAAAGAAGAGGAAACGAGAUGCUGAGGGUGAUGGAAAGGAAAGGACGAUUAGACCCCUUUCAUUUCAGAUUCCACGGGCCUACUGGACGUGCAGUAGAGUGGUCACAACUCUGUUCCAUCCUGGAUGA